AUUGAACGCUGGCGGCAUGCUUUACACAUGCAAGUCGAACGGCAGCACGAAAGAGCUUGCUCUUUUGGUGGCGAGUGGCGAACGGGUGAGUAAUGCAUCCGAACGUACCGAGUAAUGGGGGAUAACUGUCCGAAAGGAUAGCUAAUACCGCAUACGCUUUGAGAAGGAAAGUGGGGGCUCUUCGGACCUCACGUUAUUCGAGCGGCCGAUGUCUGAUUAGCUAGUUGGUGGGGUAAAGGCCUACCAAGGCGACGAUCAGUAGCGGGUCUGAGAGGAUGAUCCGCCACACUGGGACUGAGACACGGCCCAGACUCCUACGGGAGGCAGCAGUGGGGAAUUUUGGACAAUGGGCGCAAGCCUGAUCCAGCCAUGCCGCGUGUCUGAAGAAGGCCUUCGGGUUGUAAAGGACUUUUGUUAGGGAAGAAAAGGAUAGUGUUAAUACCAUUAUCUGCUGACGGUACCUAAAGAAUAAGCACCGGCUAACUACGUG
This 490-nucleotide ribosomal RNA is filed under the name uncultured bacterium. RNAcentral describes it as "partial 16S ribosomal RNA". It matches the Rfam family "Bacterial small subunit ribosomal RNA", at positions 30 to 507 of the family's 1533-position model. The record is from RNAcentral.